Long non-coding RNA from Suricata suricatta (meerkat), 508 nucleotides. RefSeq lists it as uncharacterized. The transcript is spliced from 3 exons. The record is from RefSeq and is a predicted model, not a curated record. Lineage: Eukaryota; Metazoa; Chordata; Mammalia; Carnivora; Herpestidae.
CUUUACCUGCCGAUGAGCAAGGCUAGGUGCGCUCCCCCAGGCCCCCGGAUGAAAUCGCGUUGCACUCUUACCUCGAAUAUCGUAGAGGAAAUCUGCAGCCCCCAGUCCUUGAGUUGUAGGACUCUGGACUGGCUGGCGUUCAGACUCUGGAGUGUCCUCAGUGGGACAGAGAAGGUCUGCGGUGUGCUCCCCAAGACUCGAGGAUACAUGAUUUCUUGAGGCUUUCAGGAAACGAUGAGUCCAGUGGCAGAACGGCCCUCUGCGGUCCCAGGACUGCAAACACCGCUGUCAGCAGCUCUCGAUUCAGAGAGGAAGGUCCAAAAGCAAAUUUGAAAAGAGUUUGGUUAUCAUUUCUGAAGUACAGAAGUAUGUGAGAGACUUUGACACUUAGAAUCAUCCAGAACAAAUACUCUCCAGCUUUAUCCUUUCUGCCCUAUGCCAACAAAUAGUCUAUCCCACCUUCUGGAAGAGUACAGCUUCUGUCUCUUCUACCCAGUUCGGUGUAGGC